UACAGAGGUCUCAAGCGUUGUUCGGAUUCAUUGGGCGUAAAGGGUGCGUAGGUGGCGUGGUAAGUCGGGUGUGAAAUUUCGGAGCUUAACUCCGAAACUGCAUUCGAUACUGCUGUGCUUGAGGACUGCAGAGGAGACUGGAAUUCCCGGUGUAGCGGUGAAAUGUGUAGAGAUCGGGAGGAACACCGGUGGCGAAGGCGGGUCUCUGGGCAAUUCCUGACGCUGAGGCGCGAAAGCGUGGGGAGCAAACGGG
This 253-nucleotide ribosomal RNA is filed under the name uncultured prokaryote. RNAcentral's name for it is "partial 16S ribosomal RNA". It matches the Rfam family "Bacterial small subunit ribosomal RNA", at positions 524 to 776 of the family's 1533-position model. The record is from RNAcentral.